CCUACCCUUGACAUGGAUGGAAUCCUGAAGAGAUUUGGGAGUGCUCGAAAGAGAACCAUCACACAGGUGCUGCAUGGCUGUCGUCAGCUCGUGUCGUGAGAUGUUGGGUUAAGUCCCGCAACGAGCGCAACCCUUGUCAUUAGUUGCUACGAAAGGGCACUUUAAUGAGACUGCCGGUGACAAACCGGAGGAAGGUGGGGAUGACGUCAAGUCCUCAUGGCCCUUAUGGGUAGGGCUUCACACGUCAUACAAUGGUACAUACAGAGGGCCGCCAACCCGCGAGGGGGAGCUAAUCCCAGAAAGUGUAUCGUAGUCCGGAUUGGAGUCUGCAACUCGACUCCAUGAAGUUGGAAUCGCUAGUAAUCGCGGAUCAGCAUGUCGCGGUGAAUACGUUCCCGGGUCUUGUACACAC
This 412-nucleotide ribosomal RNA is filed under the name uncultured bacterium. RNAcentral's name for it is "bacterial SSU rRNA". It matches the Rfam family "Bacterial small subunit ribosomal RNA", at positions 974 to 1390 of the family's 1533-position model. The record is from RNAcentral.